GACGAACGCUGGCGGCGUGCCUAAUACAUGCAAGUCGAACGCUUCUUUCCUCCCUUUUGCUUGCACUCAAUUGUAGAGAGGAGUGGCGGACGGGUGAGUAACACGUCGGUAACCUACCCCUCAGAGGGGGAUAACACUUGUGAACAGUUGCUAAUACCGCAUACCACUUUAUGCCGCAUGGCAUAAGAGUGUAGGGCGCUUUCGGGUGUCGCUGAUGGAUGGACCCGCGGUGCAUUAGCUAGUUGGUGAGGUAACGGCUCACCAAGGCGACGAUGCAUGGCCGACCUGAGAGGGUGAUCGGCCACACUGGGACUGAGAGACGGCCCAGACUCCUACGGGAGGCAGCAGUAGGGAAUCUUCGGCAAUGGGCGAAAGUCUGACAGAGCAACGCGGCGUGAGUGAAGAAGGUGUUCGGAUCGUAAAACUCUGUUGUUAGAGAAGAACAAGGACGGCAGUAACUGAUCGGGUCCUGACGGUAUCUAACCAGAAAGCCACGGCUAACUACGUG
RNAcentral lists this ribosomal RNA (508 nucleotides) under uncultured bacterium. RNAcentral describes it as "partial 16S ribosomal RNA". It matches the Rfam family "Bacterial small subunit ribosomal RNA", at positions 28 to 507 of the family's 1533-position model. The record is from RNAcentral.